Molecule: ribosomal RNA, 252 nt
Filed under: uncultured bacterium
Lineage: Bacteria
Description: partial 16S ribosomal RNA
Rfam family: Bacterial small subunit ribosomal RNA
Source: RNAcentral
CAAACGGGUGAGUAACACGUAAACAACCUGCCUUCAGGAUGGGGACAACAGACGGAAACGACUGCUAAUACCGAGUAAGUUCCAAGGGCCGCAUGGCCCAUGGAAGAAAAGGUGGCCUCUACCUGUAAGCUAUCGCCUGAAGAGGGGUUUGCGUCUGAUUAGCUGGUUGGAGGGGUAACGGCCCACCAAGGCAACGAUCAGUAGGGGUUCUGAGAGGAAGGUCCCCCACAUUGGAACUGAGACACGGUCCAA